GAACUCUUGCUGCAGAGUUUCGAGCGCCGCUUCCUGGCGGCGCGCUCACUGCGCUCCUUCCCCUGGCAGAGCUUAGAAGCAAAGUUAAGAGACUCAUCAGAUUCUGAGCUGCGGCGGGAUAUUUUGCAGAAGACUGUGAAGCAUCCUGUGUGUGUGAAGCACCCGCCGUCAGUCAAGUAUGCCCGGUGCUUUCUCUCAGAACUCAUGAAAAAGAUUAGAACGAAAGCAAACAAGCUCUCACUCAGCCUGCCCCCAGCACGAGGCUGUCCACACAGAGCCUUUGGACGAGCUGUACGAGGUGCUGGCGGAGACUUUGAUGGCCAAGGAGUCCACCCAGGGCCACUGGAGCUAUUUGCUGCCCUCGGGAGGCUCGGUCACACUCUCCAAGAGCACAGCCAUCAU
Long non-coding RNA from Homo sapiens (human), 402 nucleotides. Ensembl annotates it as family with sequence similarity 86, member A pseudogene. Its record names the gene FAM86EP. The record is from Ensembl. NCBI's taxonomy places the organism in Eukaryota, Metazoa, Chordata, Mammalia, Primates, Hominidae.